AGGCGGUGGAGCUCGGGCUGGCAACCGGCCGCGGGGAGGGGUUUGGAGGCUGGGGGAGCGGGGCAGCGAGACGGGGGGGGGGUCGGCUCGGAGUCCCCCCGCUUCUCCCCGGGCCGCCCGGAGCCGGCCCCGGGCCGGGGGAGCCGCCCGCAGCCCCGCGCCCCGCUCCCCCCGGCUGGGCUGCUCGCUGCCGCACAAAGAGCGCCCUUCUCGCAGACAAAGCAUCCGCCCGAGGUGUCACCGGGGCUGGCCGGCCCUUCGCCCGGCUCCCCGGCUGCCGGUUUGGACAUCACAUACUCCGGGAUGAAGCGCGGGGGAGCUCGGCCGCCGGUCCCGGUGCCGCUCCGGCAGGUUUGGGGGUUCUCGGUGGGGCUGGAGGCGGCGGCAAGCGGCGGGGCCCGGCAGGUGCCUGGCUCCCGGCUCUCGGCUGCCGUCGCCUCCCAAAAAACGCAGCCCCCGGCAGCCCGGCUCCCGGCAGCACAACGGAGUGAGCCUGGGGGCGAGCAGGGCAGCGGUUUGUCCUGCCUUGGCUUGCGCUGCACCGAAAGCCGGUGCCUUGCUCCUGCCGGCGAACGGGGACACGAUUGGGGUGUGUGUCCCCUACCCUCAUCUCCCGCAGUUGUGUUCAUACAAGGAUUCAGCAGCGUGUGGGCUCGCUAGGCAUUUUCCUUCAGCCCCUGCAGGAGACUUGGUGAGAUACGCCGUACCGUGAAAUACCGGUUAGUUACAGGGGCAGAGCAGCUGGAAAAAGGAGAUCCGAGGGCGUCAGCAUUUUGCAGAAGUCCCCGGGUGCUCACCGUGAGCACUGGGACCCGCAGGGAUUGCUCACAGAGGAGCACAUACUCCCCGCAUCCCAGCUCCCCAAGGCUUUCCCUACCACCAGACCCCACCUGCCCACACCACACACUAGGCUGGCAGUCACAGAACGACACGGCUGUGAAACCCACCGCCUACACACAGGCUGCUGAGGGGCCAAAUUCCAUCAGGGCAGUCUCCAGGGAGGUCUCUAGAAAAGGCUUUUUUCCUUGGCUGGCUCAUGCAAAAACACAGAGAACCGCAUUCCCUCUGAGUGCUCAUUGCUAGCAGUGCAGGACGCUAGGUACCGUGUGCCACAGGCACACUCAUUUUGCCUGACUCCGGUGCAGUAUCCAAGUUGAUUUGGUCCCUAAUCUGAAAAAAGAGAUACAGGUAUCUGAUAUGUGCAGCUAAUCGAAGAGCUAUCUCCUCUAAACAGACUGGUUUAAACUAAUUACACGAUGUAGUGCAUGCUGCCACCUACGCCUUCUGAUUCAGGUUUCUGGUGUAUUGCAGCUCUGGAUUCCUAGGCAUCGUUUGCUGAAGGCAGCCAGCAUUUUGUGAGGCUGCACGAGGCACCACAAACACAGGCGGCUGUGGCCGCACCAGGGAGCAAGGCAAAACAUUUCUCACCGGCGCAGACACAUGUUGAGUUGCGGUGAGGAUGCCUCGAGGCUGACCAGGAACCGGCAGUCACACCAGUGAAAUGAAAAGUAGUGGCUGGAGCUACAUGGUGCUGAGGAUCCUGCCAGCACAGCUGUACCACUGACAGCAGCGGAACAUUUUGCUCAAGUUCUCUAGAGGAAUCAAAGCCUGUAUUUUCUGUCUCUGGCCCUCUCUUGUUCUGUUGUUCCAUGCUCUGUAAAAGAAAAGUCAGCCACACGCAGCACAUGGUUGCUCUCUGCGUUUGAAAAAAAAAAAAAAAAAGUGUUUUGGGGAAGAAAACCACAGCCAAUGCUGUUUUGAAGUCAGAAGCAUGUAAACAGUACCUGGAACUAAGUGGAAUAAUAAUAAUAAUUAGUCCUUUUGUGCCAUAAAUAUGUGCAUUGCUGCCUGCUGUUUCAUUAUGAGACAGCACGACUUCUGAAAAUGUGCCUGAUGAAUAUUUGGGGGCACACUGCCUUCAGCUGCAGCGGCGUAUAGCAGCUCAAGUGCCUCUGGCUCCUCCAGCUCUUAUGUAACCAAAAUCACAAGUUAGAGCCCAAAUUACAAAGCAGAAGCAUGUGUAUAAUAUUAAGAAUAUAAGUGGUGCCUUAAAUUGCUAUCCUUUUACUGUAGGUCUGGCUUUAAUCUGUUACUAAUUUUAGUCCUGCAGUUCCAUUGAUUUCGAUGUGUGGUGGUGCCAUUAAUAGCGGAAUCAAGCCUAACCCCUUAAAAACCCACCAUGAGAGCGUUAACCCAAACUUAAGUAAGUCAGGCCAAAAUCGCUGUGGUUACAGGUAGGUGUAGUUCAUAUGACUCGUAUACCAGAUCCAAAACCUAUCCAGUAUUAAGAUAGAGUAGAAAGCCACAAUAUAAUGUUCCCAUGACUGCUUUGCACAUCAGCCAGAGCUGCAGGUUUUUGCACAUUUAGCCAAGGCACAGGUUAGUCUUCCUUUGUGUUCUGCCUCUUUCUGGAGCCCAUAUUCCCCAUUCACACGCUGAUCUGCUUUCUGGAGUUUUAAGGUGUUGGAUGCUGAUACCGUGAGCGCCUCUUGUGUCUGUUUAAUCCAAUAACAUAACUCGUCUUUAAUCUCCACGUCUGGGUCACAGGUUUUAAAAAAGACACUGGGCCAAAUCCCCAGCUUGGCUAUAACGUGUGGAAAUCUACCGAGAAGGCACGGAAGUCAGAAGAGAUUUGCUGUAUCUGCACCCUGCAAAGGAGGUCUCAAGGGGCAGUGAUGUGAGUGCCUAAUUUCGCAGAUGGAUGCGUAUUAACACAAGUCUGCAGCAGAGGUGGAGCAGAUUUCUGUCAGGACAAAAACUUGUUUCUUCUCAACCUGUGCCUGCUGAAGGAAACACACUCAGGACCACAGCAAGGCAAGAACAAGGAGCCAGUUUUGCAGGGGUUGGGAAGAUUUUGCAUAUAAAUAUUAAAAUAAAAAAUCAAAUUUUAUUCCAAAUGCAAAGUCCAGCAGAAAUUUAAGGGGCAAGUGCAGAGCACUGUCUGUAAAGAAGGGCAUAGGUGAGAAUAGCAAAAAGAUGCUCUGAAUAAGCUGACUGCAGUAACAAGUCUCCAAACACAACUUUCCUAUAUAAAGCUAUACAGGGGCAGCCUUUGGGGUUCCCCUGUGUGGGAAAGGACCAUGAGCCUGAGAAGAGGCAGAUUUUGUGAGGGAUUUAAACAUCAUGUAGUGACUCUGGAUUGCAGAUUUUAAGCAUUACUAAAUCAGGGGACAGAACUGUCGCUAUUGCUAUUACGUACCAGGAUAUUUCACUAAUCCGUGCAAUCCACUAAGUUGCUGUAGUUUUAGUCUGUGUUUAUUUUAGAUGAAAUUAUGGCCUGGACAGUUAAUUUUUUGUUAGUUUAUCCAUUUAAAUCAUAUACAAAUAAAAUACCAAACAGAAAUCAAAA
Molecule: non-coding RNA, 3349 nt
Organism: Anas platyrhynchos (mallard)
Lineage: Eukaryota; Metazoa; Chordata; Aves; Anseriformes; Anatidae
Source: RefSeq, a predicted model, not a curated record